CGGAAAGCCUGACGCAGCGACGCCGCGUGUGGGAUGACGGCCUUCGGGUGUAAACCACUGUCGGGAGGGACGAAGCUCUGACGGUACCUCCAAAGGAAGCACCGGCUAACUCUGUGCCAGCAGCCGCGGUAAUACAGAGGGUGCGAGCGUUGUCCGGAAUCACUGGGCGUAAAGGGCGCGUAGGCGGCCUGAUAAGUCGGGGGUGAAAUCCUGUGGCUUAACCACAGGGCUGCCUCCGAGACUGUCGGGCUCGAGCACAGUAGAGGCAGGUGGAAUUCCCGGUGUAGCGGUGGAAUGCGUAGAGAUCGGGAAGAACAUCGGUGGCGAAGGCGGCCUGCUGGGCUGUUGCUGACGCUGAGGCGCGACAGCGUGGGGAGCAAACAGGAUUAGAUACCCUGGUAGUCCACGCCGUAAACGAUGGGCACUAGGCGUCGGGGGGAGCGACCCUCCCGGUGCCGUCGCUAACGCAGUAAGUGCCCCGCCUGGGGAGUACGGCCGCAAGGCUG
RNAcentral lists this ribosomal RNA (506 nucleotides) under uncultured bacterium. RNAcentral describes it as "bacterial SSU rRNA". It matches the Rfam family "Bacterial small subunit ribosomal RNA", at positions 376 to 896 of the family's 1533-position model. The record is from RNAcentral.